This 506-nucleotide ribosomal RNA is filed under the name uncultured bacterium. RNAcentral describes it as "partial 16S ribosomal RNA". It matches the Rfam family "Bacterial small subunit ribosomal RNA", at positions 30 to 523 of the family's 1533-position model. The record is from RNAcentral.
AUUGAACGCUGGCGGCAGGCCUAACACAUGCAAGUCGAGCGGCAGCGGAAAGUAGCUUGCUACUUUGCCGGCGAGCGGCGGACGGGUGAGUAAUGUCUGGGAAACUGCCUGAUGGAGGGGGAUAACUACUGGAAACGGUAGCUAAUACCGCAUAACGUCGCAAGACCAAAGAGGGGGACCUUCGGGCCUCGUGCCAUCAGAUGUGCCCAGAUGGGAUUAGCUAGUAGGUGGGGUAACGGCGCACCUAGGCGACGAUCCCUAGCUGGUCUGAGAGGAUGACCAGCCACACUGGAACUGAGACACGGUCCAGACUCCUACGGGAGGCAGCAGUGGGGAAUAUUGCACAAUGGGCGCAAGCCUGAUGCAGCCAUGCCGCGUGUAUGAAGAAGGCCUUCGGGUUGUAAAGUACUUUCAGCGGGGAGGAAGGCGAUAAGGUUAAUAACCUUGUCGAUUGACGUUACCCGCAGAAGAAGCACCGGCUAACUACGUGCCAGCAGCCGCCGUAA